AUACGUAGGGGGCGAGCGUUGUCCGGAAUGAUUGGGCGUAAAGGGCGCGUAGGCGGCCCGGUAAGUCUGGAGUGAAAGUCCUGUUUUUAAGAUGGGAAUUGCUUUGGAUACUGGCGGGCUUGAGUGGAGGAGAGGGUAUCGGAAUUCCCGGUGUAGCGGUGAAAUGCGUAGAGAUCGGGAGGAACACCAGUGGCGAAGGCGGGUAACUGGACUGCAACUGACGCUGAGGCGCGAAAGUGUGGGGAGCAAACAGGAUUAGAUACCCUGGUAGUCCACACUGUAAACGAUGAAUGCUAGGUGUAGGGGGUAUCGACCCCUUCUGUGCCGCAGUAAACGCAAUAAGCAUUCCGCCUGGGGAGUACGGCCGCAAGGUUGAAACUCAAAGGAAUUGACGGGG
Molecule: ribosomal RNA, 397 nt
Filed under: uncultured bacterium
Lineage: Bacteria
Description: partial 16S ribosomal RNA
Rfam family: Bacterial small subunit ribosomal RNA
Source: RNAcentral